This 1588-nucleotide long non-coding RNA is filed under the name Diabrotica virgifera virgifera (western corn rootworm). Its description in RNAcentral is "uncharacterized LOC126884100". Lineage: Eukaryota; Metazoa; Arthropoda; Insecta; Coleoptera; Chrysomelidae. The record is from RNAcentral.
AAUCGAUUAUUGAUGGGAAGAUAUUAUUUAACUAUCCAAAAUAUUAUUUAAUUAUUUUCAGAAUUAUUUUCUUUCAAUGUUUAUUCAAAUAGAACUUAAACCCAUCUCAGAAUUUUUAAAUGCUUGAUGACGUCACAUUUAAAACGUGGCAACAUUGGUUUCCCCACUUUGACAGCCAAUGCUUAGUAGAGGGGUACGAAGGAUUCAGCUGUGAACGUGAGCCUUGGAUUGCCAUUGUUUCUCGAGUGUUCGGUCUGAAUCGUAGUGUGCGGGGUCAUUAGACUCAAUUAUUCACCUCUAAUUCUCAGUUCCAAAUUGAUUAAAUAUUACAAUAAAAGUAUAGUGAAGUUAUCCAGCAGCAGUGGAUUUGAAGAAUUUUAGAGCAUACUAUAUCCAAUGAGUUCUACCCCGCACCUACCAUGAAAUCUUAAAGCCACCCUACAACAACACCAAGGCCAGACCACACAGAGAGAAACAAUCAAUAGGCGACCAGCCUGGAUUAUUUCCACAUUUUCUUUUUUUUUGAGUACCUCCAGCUGCUUUCCAACAGUUUUGAGUACCUUCAGCUGCUUUCUACCAGUCUUCCUCUCCUGUACCUCCAGCAGGACAGCUGCUAGCGAGAGUUAGCACCCUUGGGUGCUCAUUACAUCAACUUCAAGAUUAGGAAAGAGUGGUUUGUUUGGGAACAUUUACUGUGCUCUUAUUAAAGACAGACUGGUUUUGUGAUAUUUAGUACAUUUUUUUUUAUAGUUCAAUUGCACACACAUUUUUCCUGCUUUAUAUUUUUUAUAGGUUUUUUUUCUUUACAACAUAAUAUUUAAUUGAUAGCGUUCCCCAACACUCUGCAAUCUAUAAAGGUAUAAAUUUCUGAGCUCAGAUAUUUUCCCUGAUAAUAGUAGUCGGUACUCUUAUCUUGAUUAUUUUUAGGCUGUGUUCCACUUUUGUAUAAUUAUUUAAACUCAUUCCAUUAUUUUAGUAUAUGUUUAAUUAAAUUUUUAAAAAUUAACUUCACAUAUUAGUCAAAAUUGUAAUUAUUAACUUUAUUUAACUUGAACUUAUUAACUUUACUUAACUUUAACUUAUUAACUUUAUUUAACUUUAACUUUAAUUUAUUAAAUUCAUAUGAACUUCUGGAUUCUAAUCCCUCAGAUUAGUUUUUGGUUUCACUUGUUAUUAUUACUAUUAUAAACCACGAGUUAGGAAAAGGAUCUGUGUAUCCACUCGUAGGUUUAUUUAUUCAAUAAGGCUUGUGCCUGUCCCACUCACAGUGAGGUAUUUAUAUGUUAUAUAUAGUAUCAGGUAGUAUUUAAUUAAGGUGUACGUAUUAUAAACGUACAAUUAUUAUUUGGUGAGGGUUCUACUAACCUAGUUGUAAGUUGUACUUCCUGUAUUAGAGGUACCCGUAGUCAGUUUUUCUAACCUUAUAAAGAGUAUUCUUAGAUCAUAGUUGUAUGAUGAUUUUGUAAUUGACUUUCACUAGUAUCACUUUUUCCUGUCAUGUUAGAGUUACACACUAGUUACUUGUCCUAACUCAGAGGUUGUUAAAAAGAUCUAGUAGUUACAUUCAAUAAAUAUACAUUUAUUGUGA